This 253-nucleotide ribosomal RNA is filed under the name uncultured bacterium. RNAcentral describes it as "partial 16S ribosomal RNA". It matches the Rfam family "Bacterial small subunit ribosomal RNA", at positions 524 to 776 of the family's 1533-position model. The record is from RNAcentral.
GACAGAGGAGCCAAGCGUUGUCCGGAUUGACUGGGCGUAAAGCGCACGCAGGCGGUCGCGCGCGUGGGGUGUGAAAUCUGGCCGCUUAACGGCCAGGCGCCAUCCCAUACGGCGCGACUGGAGUGAUGCAGAGGUCGGUGGAAUUGCCGGUGUAGUGGUGAAAUGCGUAGAGAUGGGGGAGAACACUCGUGGCGAAGGCGGCCAGCUAGACCAGUUCUGACACUGAGGCGCGACAGCGUGGGGAGCAAACAGG